RNAcentral lists this ribosomal RNA (449 nucleotides) under uncultured bacterium. Its description in RNAcentral is "bacterial SSU rRNA". It matches the Rfam family "Bacterial small subunit ribosomal RNA", at positions 1052 to 1504 of the family's 1533-position model. The record is from RNAcentral.
UCGUCAGCUCGUGUCGUGAGAUGUUGGGUUAAGUCCCGCAACGAGCGCAACCCUUAUGCUUAGUAGCCAGCGGUAUGGCCGGGCACUCUAGGCAGACUGCCAGGAAUAACCUGGAGGAAGGCGGGGAUGACGUCAAAUCAUCAUGCCCCUUAUGACUUGGGCUACACACGUGCUACAAUGGCGCUGACAAAGGGAAGCAAACCCGCGAGGGGGAGCAAAUCCAGAAACAGCGUCCCAGUUCGGACUGUAGUCUGCAACCCGACUAUACGAAGCUGGAAUCGCUAGUAAUCGCAGAUCAGAAUGCUGCGGUGAAUACGUUCCCGGGUCUUGUACACACCGCCCGUCACACCAUGGGAGUCGAUAACGCCCGAAGCCGGUGACCUAACGCAAGAAGGAGCCGUCGAAGGCGGGAUUGGUAACUGGGGUGAAGUCGUAACAAGGUAGCCGUA